GACGAACGCUGGCGGCGUGCCUAAUACAUGCAAGUCGAACGAACUCUGGUAUUGAUUGGUGCUUGCAUCAUGAUUUACAUUUGAGUGAGUGGCGAACUGGUGAGUAACACGUGGGAAACCUGCCCAGAAGCGGGGGAUAACACCUGGAAACAGAUGCUAAUACCGCAUAACAACUUGGACCGCAUGGUCCGAGCUUGAAAGAUGGCUUCGGCUAUCACUUUUGGAUGGUCCCGCGGCGUAUUAGCUAGAUGGUGGGGUAACGGCUCACCAUGGCAAUGAUACGUAGCCGACCUGAGAGGGUAAUCGGCCACAUUGGGACUGAGACACGGCCCAAACUCCUACGGGAGGCAGCAGUAGGGAAUCUUCCACAAUGGACGAAAGUCUGAUGGAGCAACGCCGCGUGAGUGAAGAAGGGUUUCGGCUCGUAAAACUCUGUUGUUAAAGAAGAACAUAUCUGAGAGUAACUGUUCAGGUAUUGACGGUAUUUAACCAGAAAGCCACGGCUAACUACGUGCCAGCAGCCGCGGUAAUACGUAGGUGGCAAGCGUUGUCCGGAUUUAUUGGGCGUAAAGCGAGCGCAGGCGGUUUUUUAAGUCUGAUGUGAAAGCCUUCGGCUCAACCGAAGAAGUGCAUCGGAAACUGGGAAACUUGAGUGCAGAAGAGGACAGUGGAACUCCUUGUGUAGCGGUGAAAUGCGUAGAUAUAUGGAAGAACACAAGUGGCGAAGGCGGCUGUCUGGUCUGUAACUGACGCUGAGGCUCGAAAGUAUGGGUAGCAAACAGGAUUAGAUACCCUGGUAGUCCAUACCGUAAACGAUGAAUGCUAAGUGUUGGAGGGUUUCCGCCCUUCAGUGCUGCAGCUAACGCAUUAAGCAUUCCGCCUGGGGAGUACGGCCGCAAGGCUGAAACUCAAAGGAAUUGACGGGGGCCCGCACAAGCGGUGGAGCAUGUGGUUUAAUUCGAAGCUACGCGAAGAACCUUACCAGGUCUUGACAUACUAUGCAAAUCUAAGAGAUUAGACGUUCCCUUCGGGGACAUGGAUACAGGUGGUGCAUGGUUGUCGUCAGCUCGUGUCGUGAGAUGUUGGGUUAAGUCCCGCAACGAGCGCAACCCUUAUUAUCAGUUGCCAGCAUUAAGUUGGGCACUCUGGUGAGACUGCCGGUGACAAACCGGAGGAAGGUGGGGAUGACGUCAAAUCAUCAUGCCCCUUAUGACCUGGGCUACACACGUGCUACAAUGGAUGGUACAACGAGUUGCGAACUCGCGAGAGUAAGCUAAUCUCUUAAAGCCAUUCUCAGUUCGGAUUGUAGGCUGCAACUCGCCUACAUGAAGUCGGAAUCGCUAGUAAUCGCGGAUCAGCAUGCCGCGGUGAAUACGUUCCCGGGCCUUGUACACACCGCCCGUCACACCAUGAGAGUUUGUAACACCCAAAGUCGGUGGGGUAACCUUUUAGGAACCAGCCGCCUGAGGUGGGACAGAUGAUUAGGGUG
RNAcentral lists this ribosomal RNA (1489 nucleotides) under Lactiplantibacillus plantarum. RNAcentral's name for it is "bacterial SSU rRNA". It matches the Rfam family "Bacterial small subunit ribosomal RNA". The record is from RNAcentral. Lineage: Bacteria; Bacillati; Bacillota; Bacilli; Lactobacillales; Lactobacillaceae.